Uranotaenia lowii is the source of this 1175-nucleotide long non-coding RNA. RefSeq lists it as uncharacterized. The record is from RefSeq and is a predicted model, not a curated record. Lineage: Eukaryota; Metazoa; Arthropoda; Insecta; Diptera; Culicidae. The transcript is spliced from 5 exons.
UUAACCAAUUUUGUUUAAAAAAUAACCAUAUUUUGAUUUGUGCCUUAAAACUGUCAAUAUGGUUACUUUUUAACGAUUUUUACAGUGGAAUUUUAACCACCAAUGAAGUUCUCAUGCAAAAAAACAAAUGUGGUUAAAAACAUAACAUCAAAAUAAAUUGUUAUUCAGACGCCAUUUUAACUGCAAGCGUCUUUAUGAGGGAAGAAAAAAAAUUAAUUCAUAUUCAUCGGUAAAUGGAAAAUAAACGACGACCUGACCCGGAUAACCUGGCCUUGAUGAUAAGGUUUCCAUCCAGCUUUACGGGCGGUCGAAGUUUUAGUGCCGGGGAAAGUAUAGAACCCGUGCAGAUGGACAGUAAUCGUGACGAUGGGCAUUGCUGGCUGUCCCAGGGAAGCUCUGACUGCCUACCGAAAAAGAACGAAGUGCUUAUUAAAAAUGAAUCCUCUCACUGUCCGGGUCCUGAUUUCAAACCGAGCUCGAGAUGGAAGCGGCUGCUACCCUUUGAAAGCUUGUCAGAUUAUUAUUAUUGCAUCCUUUUUUCGGAUCUGCUUAUCCGGCUUCUAUUGAAACGCCAAAAAUAACAACAAGCUAGGAACAAAUUUCGAUUAAUUUAACGCACUACUCCAACAGACAAAAAAGAGCGACUGAAAUUAACCCAUGAUUCCCUUAAUCAGUAAGAAGGUUCUGCUGCAAAUGCAACAACACUUUCAGCCAGCGCAGUUUCUCGUAAAAGCAUCCUGUCAGCGAGCAGCAGACUAGUGAAGUACUAGCAAUCACUUACCCAGGAUGUGCAGGCUGCACAAUAUGCGGUGGUGGCCAUCUUCCAUGGCAGUUGCUUCAUGCUGCCCCCGAUAUGCCAGAUAAGAAGGAAGACGACAUGGACGACGAAGAGCCACCAAAACCGAUGGCCAAAUGUUAACCGAUCGACGGUCGGGUAACGAAGCAAUGCGUGGACCAGUCUUACCCGAAGAAAUUAUUCGAACGAACUGUUUCCAAACCUCCCAUUCGCUGUUCCCGUCAAGAACGAGAAAUUCUACCCAGAGGCUGGUCAGUAAACUGCUGGCGAUACUCUUUUAAUUAUCGUUCGGACAAAUCAGACUGCAAACAGAUUAUUGAAUGGUUGGUUGUCCUCAAGGAAGGUCAUCUUAUCUUAGCAAAACACAACCUAACGAUGU